UGCUCAGUCGCACAACAUCCUGCUGGAUCAGCAUUGUGUGAACCUUAGGUUCUCCAUAAUACAGUGUAAUCAUAUUUUGAAUUGUUGGAAAGUUGUAGUGGUUAUUGUGCUGGGUGCUGGGUUGCAGUAGUUAGGGUGCUGGGCUGUAGUGGUUAUUGUGCUGGGUGCUGGGUUGUAGUGAUCAGGGUGCUGGGUGCUGGGUUGUAGUGGUUAGGGUGCUGGGUUGUAGUGGUCAGGGUGCUGGGUUGUAGUAGUUAGGGUGCUGGGUUGCAGUGGUUAGGGUGCUGGGUUGUAGUGGUUAGGGUGCUGGGUUUCAGUGGUUAGGGUGCUGGGUUGCAGUGGUUUGGGUACUGGGCUGUAGUGGUUAUUGUGUUAGUUGUAGUGGUUAGGGUGCUGGGUUGUAGUGGUUAUUGUACUGGCUGCUGGGUUGUAGUGGUUAGGGUGCUCUCUCUCUCUCUCUUCCUCUGACUCACACUGUCCCACACUCUGUCCUUCUUUCUCUCUCUCCUCUCUCUCUCUCUCUGCCUCUCUCUGUCUCUCUUUCUCUCUCUGUCUCUCCUUCACUCUCCCUCUCCUUAGUGGACAGCUCAGUGGCUGCAGUCUUGAACAUUCGUCUGAUCUGUGUGUGUGGCAGCAUUUCCACAGAAGCUGAGUGUGAUUAGUGAGACGUGACAAGUGAGAAUGAACAGAUGAGGAGUUCCUGAUUUCAGAAAGUAUAGCUGUAUACACGGCACUCACACCGACUCAGCUUAUAGCCUAUAUACACAGCACAGACCGUGCAUUACCAUCCCAGUCUCUGCUGAGAUCAAGGGAACCAAUGAUGGAGUCCAGAAAAGUCUUCUUCUUAGUGCUCUAUCUCUUGUUGUACAGCAGCUUCUCAACUGCCGAUCCAACUUGCAGAGGCACUAGUAAUGGUGCAUGUGGAUCCAGUGAAGUCUGCCGCAAUGGUGAAUGUGUGGAUGGAUGCAGCGUGUAUAGCUGUGGGGUGAACGCACAAUGUUCUACCACAAACAACAUCCAGAGCUGCAGCUGUGUGAGUCCAUGGAUUCCGUGGAAAAAAGAGGAACCUCACAGAGAAGGCUGCCGCUACCAGGAGCUUCAGUGGGUGGAUCGCAAUUCUACGGAUCCCAUUCCAGAAAAUGCCGUGACAUCGAAGACAAAACAUCAUGUUUGUCGAGCGCACGGCCCAGAUGGUGGAUGGCAUGGAGGAUGGAUCUAUCUCCAUGGCGUCAACACCUGCAAUUAUGGGUAUGACUGCGAUGAGAAAACGGCUGACAGUUUUCAGGUGCUGGUGGACCCCUGUGGUGGCAGUGGAGUGUACUGGUUGAGUGGCGGGAUAUAUGCUGACUCUGUUGAGAUUGGCCAGGCUGUUCCAUGGCCCUGGAUUAAAUACGUGGUGUGCAGCACGAAGGGCAAAGGCAUUCCAGGGAAACUUAAUGUUAGUGGACUAAUGUGUAAUUAUGGUUAUGAAGGAUAUAGUCACCGUGAUGGAAAUUUUUACUCUCUUGUGAAAAAAACGUGUUUAGAUUCUGAACCCAGAGGGGGGAAACACAUUUGUCUUCACCCUCUUCUAAACUUCUUUUGAAAGUGAUUUUAGCUGAUCAACAUAAAAUGGCAUGUUACAUUGGACAGCAGAUAAAAAACACUUAAAGGUUGUCAGUUAAGAGACGCUUUCCUUUAAAAGCAAAAUGCUAAAUUAAAAGCCAUAAUCCAACAUGAGACUGCUCUGGAACCAUCUCUCUCACACACACACCUGUCACACGCAAAUCUACCACAUAUGAUGUUUAUUAAUCAGUGAGGUAUGAUACAUUCACUGCUUGAUCUUUUUUUAGCAUUUUCUACAGGAAUCUUAUUAUUAAUAAGAUUUAUUAUUAAUAAUCCACUGUAUUCUCACAUUGCUAAUAAACUCUAUGAGUGUCA
Long non-coding RNA from Anguilla rostrata (American eel), 1920 nucleotides. RefSeq lists it as uncharacterized. The transcript is spliced from 5 exons. Lineage: Eukaryota; Metazoa; Chordata; Actinopteri; Anguilliformes; Anguillidae. The record is from RefSeq and is a predicted model, not a curated record.